This 464-nucleotide ribosomal RNA is filed under the name uncultured bacterium. Its description in RNAcentral is "bacterial SSU rRNA". It matches the Rfam family "Bacterial small subunit ribosomal RNA", at positions 28 to 487 of the family's 1533-position model. The record is from RNAcentral.
GACGAACGCUGGCGGCGUGCUUAACACAUGCAAGUCGAGCGGUAAGGCCCUUUCGGGGGUACACGAGCGGCGAACGGGUGAGGAAUACAUGGGUAACCUACCCUCGAGUGGGGAAUAACUAGCCGAAAGGUUAGCUAAUACCGCGUACGCUCCUUGGACUUCGGUUCAGGGAGGAAAGCGAUACCGUGGGUAUCGCGCUCUUGGAUGGGCUCAUGUCCUAUCAGCUUGUUGGUGAGGUAACGGCNCACCAAGGCUUCGACGGGUAGCUGGUCUGAGAGGACGAUCAGCCACACUGGCACUGCGACACGGGCCAGACUCCUACGGGAGGCAGCAGUAAGGAAUAUUGCGCAAUGGGCGAAAGCCUGACGCAGCGACGCCGCGUGGGGGAUGAAGGUCUUCGGAUUGUAAACCCCUUUCGGGAGGGAAGAUGGAACGAGCAAUCGUUCGGACGGUACCUCCAGAAG